RNAcentral lists this ribosomal RNA (253 nucleotides) under uncultured bacterium. RNAcentral describes it as "partial 16S ribosomal RNA". It matches the Rfam family "Bacterial small subunit ribosomal RNA", at positions 524 to 776 of the family's 1533-position model. The record is from RNAcentral.
UACAUGUGGGGCAAGCGUUGUUCGGAAUUACUGGGCAUAAAGGGUGCGUAGGUGUCUUGUUAAGUCAGGGGUGAAAGUUUUCGGCCCAACCGGAAAAUGGCCUUUGAUACUGGCGAGCUCGAGUGCGUGAGGGGUAACCGGAACGAGCAGUGUAGCGGUGAAAUGCGUAGAUAUUGCUCGGAAGGCCAACGGCGAAGGCAGGUUACUGGUACGCAACUGACACUGAGGCACGAAAGCGCGGGGAGCAAACAGG